Molecule: ribosomal RNA, 173 nt
Filed under: Benthosema fibulatum (spinycheek lanternfish)
Lineage: Eukaryota; Metazoa; Chordata; Actinopteri; Myctophiformes; Myctophidae
Description: partial 12S rRNA
Source: RNAcentral
CACCGCGGCCAUACGAGUGAGCCCAAGUGGACAGUCUCUCGGCGUAAAGCGUGGUUAGGAAUAAAAUGCCCACUAAAGCUAAACCCUGUCAAAGCCGUAGUACGCACUCGACAACGUGAAACCCCACCACGAAAGUGACUUUAAACAAACCCGAACCCACGAAAGCUAAGAAA